UGGCGGCAGAAAGGCAGAUUUCAAGUGAUACGCGCGAGCCGUCCCCACAGUACGCGGAGUCGUCCCCGCAAGUUAAAAAGCUGAGUUUCCGAGUCGUCCCCAGUGUAGCGGAGUCGGCUCUCUCAGGGUUUUCCAGAGAAUGUCUUUUUCGGUGACAAAGCAGCGGAGACGUCCCCUGAAAGAGCGGAGUCGACUCUCUCAGAGAAUUCCAGAAGACAUGUUUUUCGGAG
RNAcentral lists this long non-coding RNA (230 nucleotides) under Phoenix dactylifera (date palm). RNAcentral describes it as "long non-coding RNA (PDAC_LNC005674)". The record is from RNAcentral. Lineage: Eukaryota; Viridiplantae; Streptophyta; Magnoliopsida; Arecales; Arecaceae.